UUUCACCUCUUGACUGGGGAAAGCCCCCCCCGCCUCGCUAAUACGUAAGGUGCAAGCGUUAUCCGGAAUUAUUGGGCGUAAAGGGCUCGUAGGCGGUUCGUCGCGUCCGGUGUGAAAGUCCAUCGCUUAACGGUGGAUCCGCGCCGGGUACGGGCGGGCUUGAGUGCGGUAGGGGAGACUGGAAUUCCCGGUGUAACGGUGGAAUGUGUAGAUAUCGGGAAGAACACCAAUGGCGAAGGCAGGUCUCUGGGCCGUUACUGACGCUGAGGAGCGAAAGCGUGGGGAGCGAACAGGAUUAGAUACCCUGGUAGUCCACGCCGUAAACGGUGGAUGCUGGAUGUGGGGCCCGUUCCACGGGUUCCGUGUCGGAGCUAACGCGUUAAGCAUCCCGCCUGGGGAGUACGGCCGCAAGGCUAAAACUCAAAGAAAUUGACGGGGGCCCGCACAAGCGGCGGAGCAUGCGGAUUAAUUCGAUGCAACGCGAAGAACCUUACCUGGGCUUGACAUGUUCCCGACGAUCCCAGGGAUGGGGUUUCCCUUCGGGGCGGGUUCACAGGUGGUGCAUGGUCGUCGUCAGCUCGUGUCGUGAGAUGUUGGGUUAAGUCCCGCAACGAGCGCAACCCUCGCCCCGUGUUGCCAGCGGAUUAUGCCGGGAACUCACGGGGGACCGCCGGGGUUAACUCGGAGGAAGGUGGGGAUGACGUCAGAUCAUCAUGCCCCUUACGUCCAGGGCUUCACGCAUGCUACAAUGGCCGGUACAACGGGAUGCGACAGUGCGAGCUGGAGCGGAUCCCUGAAAACCGGUCUCAGUUCGGAUCGCAGUCUGCAACUCGACUGCGUGAAGGCGGAGUCGCUAGUAAUCGCGAAUCAGCAACGUCGCGGUGAAUGCGUUCCCGGGCCUUGUACACACCGCCCGUCAAGUCAUGAAAGUGGGCAGCACCCGAAGCCGGUGGCCUAACCCCUUGCGGGAGGGAGCCGUCUAAGGUGAGGCUCGUGAUUGGGACUAAGUCGUAACAAGGUAACCAAUCGA
RNAcentral lists this ribosomal RNA (1030 nucleotides) under uncultured Bifidobacterium sp. RNAcentral describes it as "bacterial SSU rRNA". It matches the Rfam family "Bacterial small subunit ribosomal RNA", at positions 468 to 1507 of the family's 1533-position model. Lineage: Bacteria; Bacillati; Actinomycetota; Actinomycetes; Bifidobacteriales; Bifidobacteriaceae. The record is from RNAcentral.